UGUAAGCGUAUACCAAAGUUGUUGCAGUUAAAACGCUCGUAGUCGGAAUUUGGCAGUUCCGGAUGUGUGCACGUCGUGUGCGCACUUCGCGGGGAUUGCUUUUGUGGUCUUGCGUAGGAUGAGGCACUUUUAUUAGUGAACGUCCUCACGCAACCACUUUUUACUGUGAGAAAAUCAGAGUGCUCAAAGCAGGCAUUUGCCGUGAAUGUAUUAGCAUGGAAUAAUAGAAUAGGACUUGGUUCUAUUUUGUUGGUUUGUUGGGACUGAGUAAUGAUUAAGAGGGACAGUUGGGGGCAUUUGUAUUUCGGUGCUAGAGGUGAAAUUCUUAGAUUACCGAAAGACAGACUGCUGCGAAAGCGUCUGCCAAGGAUGUUUUCAUUGA
RNAcentral lists this ribosomal RNA (382 nucleotides) under uncultured eukaryote. Its description in RNAcentral is "partial 18S ribosomal RNA". It matches the Rfam family "Eukaryotic small subunit ribosomal RNA", at positions 592 to 976 of the family's 1831-position model. The record is from RNAcentral.